AUACGGGGUAAGAAACCAAAGAAUAAAAGAAAGGAAGGCCGCACGAAGUUAAUGAAAAGCAAGCAACGUGGGGAAGAAGGAACAGGGCAGACGUGGGGACCCCAAAGGGCGGCGGAGGGCGUGGAGAAGGCCGAGCCGGGGAGUUGCCUGCGGCGUGGAAGGCUUCCGGGAGGAAAACUGGGCCCGCGCCGGCGUCGCGCCGGGAGCAAAGCUGAAGCGGCCCGCGCCUGAGGCGGAGCCCCAAAGCGGGAACGCCGGGUCCGGCCCAAGGGCCGUAGGCCGCGAAGGGCGCCGGGGACCCGCGAAAACCGCAGGAAGCGCCCCGAGAACGUGCAGGAGGCCGCGACCCAGCCCCGGCCCGGUUCCCUCAUUCAAGCCGCCUUCCCUUCCCCCUUCUCCAAUCCCAUGCGGUCCUGGCCCCCAGCUGCCGCGCGUCUUCGACCCACCCUCUACCCCGGCCCUUCGCGAGGCGGGCCGAGCCCCUGGGACGCCGGAGCGCCAAGAUGUAAGGGCCCGCCGACUUUGAAAGCGGUAUGGAGACAGCCAGUUGAUUGGUCGCUCGGAGGCUUUAUGGGAAACGAGACUUCAGCAACGGGGAACUGCCGGCGCCCUCUCGCGGGGAUGUUUCAAUGCUGCAAUACCAAGAAGUAAGCAAGCAAUAUCCAAGGACUGCUGCAGCUUCUCUGUCACAGGUUGCCUGGGUUUGAAUCCUGGAUCUGCCUUUUACCUGCCGCAUAAUUUGGGACAAUUUAUUUCCACUCUUUGUGCCAAAGUUUCCCCAUCUUAAAAUGGGAAUAAUAAUUGUAUCUCCGCA
Physeter macrocephalus (sperm whale) is the source of this 814-nucleotide long non-coding RNA. RefSeq lists it as uncharacterized. Lineage: Eukaryota; Metazoa; Chordata; Mammalia; Artiodactyla; Physeteridae. The record is from RefSeq and is a predicted model, not a curated record. The transcript has 3 exons.